UGCCGGUUUCGUAUGGUUGUGGGCCCCC
RNAcentral lists this small RNA (28 nucleotides) under Bombyx mori (domestic silkworm). RNAcentral describes it as "piRNA piR-bmo-1758588". Lineage: Eukaryota; Metazoa; Arthropoda; Insecta; Lepidoptera; Bombycidae. The record is from RNAcentral.